GUUUGCUAACAUUUAAAACUCUUCUCCUCUGAAACUAUUGUGCCUUAUACUUUUUAAUCUUAAAUGAAUGUUCCUUUAGGAAUCUUGUUUAUGAAUUCUAUCCGAUUUUUGUAUCCAUCAACAACAUGUCCGCCAUGUCUAAAUAUAGAACAUAGGGGUCAAAUGCAGAUCCUGCUUAUAUCUCAGAAACUAAAGCAUUUAC
RNAcentral lists this long non-coding RNA (202 nucleotides) under Mytilus galloprovincialis (Mediterranean mussel). Lineage: Eukaryota; Metazoa; Mollusca; Bivalvia; Mytilida; Mytilidae. The record is from RNAcentral.